Rattus norvegicus (Norway rat) is the source of this 70-nucleotide non-coding RNA. Lineage: Eukaryota; Metazoa; Chordata; Mammalia; Rodentia; Muridae. The record is from Rfam.
GGGGAUUUAGCUCAGUGGUUAGAGCGCUUGCCUAGGAAGCGCGAGGCCCUGGGUUCCGUCCCCAGCUCCG